GAAAAGCCUCUAAGCAUCAGGUAACACGAAAUCGUACCCCAAACCGACACAGGUGGUCAGGUAGAGAAUACCAAGGCGCUUGAGAGAACUCGGGUGAAGGAACUAGGCAAAAUGGUGCCGUAACUUCGGGAGAAGGCACGCUGACACGUAGGUGAAGUGAUUUACUCAUGGAGCUGAAGUCAGUCGAAGAUACCAGCUGGCUGCAACUGUUUAUUAAAAACACAGCACUGUGCAAACACGAAAGUGGACGUAUACGGUGUGACGCCUGCCCGGUGCCGGAAGGUUAAUUGAUGGGGUCAGCGCAAGCGAAGCUCCUGAUCGAAGCCCCGGUAAACGGCGGCCGUAACUAUAACGGUCCUAAGGUAGCGAAAUUCCUUGUCGGGUAAGUUCCGACCUGCACGAAUGGCGUAAUGAUGGCCAGGCUGUCUCCACCCGAGACUCAGUGAAAUUGAACUCGCUGUGAAGAUGCAGUGUACCCGCGGCAAGACGGAAAGACCCCGUGAACCUUUACUAUAGCUUGACACUGAACAUUGAGCCUUGAUGUGUAGGAUAGGUGGGAGGCUUUGAAGUGUGGACGCCAGUCUGCAUGGAGCCGACCUUGAAAUACCACCCUUUAAUGUUUGAUGUUCUAACGUGGACCCGUAAUCCGGGUUGCGGACAGUGUCUGGUGGGUAGUUUGACUGGGGCGGUCUCCUCCUAAAGAGUAACGGAGGAGCACGAAGGUUGGCUAAUCCUGGUCGGACAUCAGGAGGUUAGUGCAAUGGCAUAAGCCAGCUUGACUGCGAGCGUGACGGCGCGAGCAGGUGCGAAAGCAGGUCAUAGUGAUCCGGUGGUUCUGAAUGGAAGGGCCAUCGCUCAACGGAUAAAAGGUACUCCGGGGAUAACAGGCUGAUACCGCCCAAGAGUUCAUAUCGACGGCGGUGUUUGGCACCUCGAUGUCGGCUCAUCACAUCCUGGGGCUGAAGUAGGUCCCAAGGGUAUGGCUGUUCGCCAUUUAAAGUGGUACGCGAGCUGGGUUUAGAACGUCGUGAGACAGUUCGGUCCCUAUCUGCCGUGGGCGCUGGAGAACUGAGGGGGGCUGCUCCUAGUACGAGAGGACCGGAGUGGACGCAUCACUGGUGUUCGGGUUGUCAUGCCAAUGGCACUGCCCGGUAGCUAAAUGCGGAAGAGAUAAGUGCUGAAAGCAUCUAAGCACGAAACUUGCCCCGAGAUGAGUUCUCCCUGAGACUUAGAGUCUCCUGAAGGAACGUUGAAGACGACGACGUUGAUAGGCCGGGUGUGUAAGCGCAGCGAUGCGUUGAGCUAACCGGUACUAAUGAACCGUGAGGCUUAACCUU
This 1337-nucleotide ribosomal RNA is filed under the name Salmonella enterica subsp. enterica serovar Typhimurium str. DT104. RNAcentral's name for it is "bacterial LSU rRNA". It matches the Rfam family "Bacterial large subunit ribosomal RNA", at positions 1612 to 2925 of the family's 2925-position model. The record is from RNAcentral. Lineage: Bacteria; Pseudomonadati; Pseudomonadota; Gammaproteobacteria; Enterobacterales; Enterobacteriaceae.